CCUACGGGAGGCAGCAGUGGGGAAUAUUGGGCAAUGGGCGCAAGCCUGACCCAGCAACGCCGCGUGAAGGAAGAAGGCUUUCGGGUUGUAAACUUCUUUUAAGAGGGAAGAGCAGAAGAUGGUACCUCUUGAAUAAGCCACGGCUAACUACGUGCCAGCAGCCGCGGUAAUACGUAGGUGGCAAGCGUUGUCCGGAUUUACUGGGUGUAAAGGGCGUGCAGCCGGGAAGACAAGUUGGGUGUAAAAUCUACCGGCUCAACCGGUAGCCGCACUCAAAACUGCAGUUCUUGAGUGAAGUAGAGGCAGGCGGAAUUCCGAGUGUAGCGGUGAAAUGCGUAGAUAUUAGGAGGAACACCAGUGGCGAAGGCGGCCUGCUGGGCUUUUACUGACGCUGAGGCUCGAAAGUGUGGGGAGCAAACAGGAUUAGAUACCCGGGUAGUC
RNAcentral lists this ribosomal RNA (441 nucleotides) under uncultured bacterium. RNAcentral describes it as "partial 16S ribosomal RNA". It matches the Rfam family "Bacterial small subunit ribosomal RNA", at positions 338 to 795 of the family's 1533-position model. The record is from RNAcentral.